CGAGAAUUAAAGUGGCAGUGACAUGAUAUAGAUUAAUAACUGGCUCAAAAGUAUCCAUUACAGCAAAGACUCCAUAAAUGUGGCAAUUUAGAAGUAAUAUUUUGGCAGAAACAAUAAGGAGUGCUCAGAAUUCUGUAGUGAUUUAUUGGUGCUUCAAAUUCCCCUUACAAGGAGAUUCCAUAUUAUCAAGAAAUGUCAUGUACUUAUAAACGAAAUCUAAAAAAAAAAAAAAACAAGAACAAUUAUUUAUUUCGUUACUAUUAUAAUAAUGACUCGGAGAAACUUUCAAGUGGAUGUUUUUUCUCUUAUCUUUGACAGGUACAUGUAUUUUCCAUGCCCACUUCGACAACAUAUAAAACAGUUAUUGCAGAGUGAACAUCAUAUAUAUGAUCAAUAAAAAUUGGUCAAAAAUAAUGUAGCGGUAAUGUCUAUUAUAUUGGCCUACUUCGAGUGUCAACUAUUUACUAUAGUGAGGCUGUUCCAUCUAAUGUGAUAACAUAUGUGUAUAAUCAACAACCAAUCACGGCUGUGCUUCCAAAUGGUGAUGCACGUACAUUUUUUGUAUGUUCGCUAGAAUCUGACCAAACAAAUCAACACAUGUACAUCAUAACUUCUUGUUUCUCUAAACAUACACAAUAAUGUUAUAAAAGUGAGUUUGUCUCUACCAUAGUUGGAUCAUAGCCACUACUAUUAAUAAAAGUUGGGCCAUUUUGGGUAUAAAGUGCAGGGGGGGGGGGGGUUGGCAGGACAAGGAAAUUCACUAAGCUUCCAAAUACAUGACAUGUAAUUGUAAUGUUUGUCAAUCACACUCGGGUUAAGAUCCCCUUGUGUUUCCUCCAAUGAGGUAAAAUAUUCUAUUAAUAUCAGCAUACAGUAGAAAGACACAAUGUCUAGGGAAUAAAAAACAACCUGUUUAAAAUUAUGAUAUAUCUCUAUUAGAUAACAAACAAAAAUAAAAUUUAUAUAAACAUGAUAUAUCUUCUUAAAUAAAUUUUAUUGACAACUUUUAAAUAAAACAUAACAAAAUGAUUCUCUUGAAACACAAAUUUGGCACAGACAGAUAGUUUGUAUAUCUGACCUUCACAAUCUCUGUUAUUGCCGUUACAAAAAAAUCGGUAUCUGUUUGACACAACCAUAUAUCGUCCAAAGUCACACAAAUUUAUGAAAUGCAGACUAAAUAUGGAAAAAUUGACAUCUGGAUUAUUGUUUAAUGUAGCCUGAAGCUAAAAGCUAAUAUAACAACAGAAUUUACUCCGAAUAGAUCGAUAUGGUUUAUGAAAUAAGGAUUGUGGUUUUAUCGG
This is a long non-coding RNA of Pecten maximus, 1301 nucleotides long. RefSeq lists it as uncharacterized. The transcript is spliced from 2 exons. Lineage: Eukaryota; Metazoa; Mollusca; Bivalvia; Pectinida; Pectinidae. The record is from RefSeq and is a predicted model, not a curated record.